Molecule: ribosomal RNA, 512 nt
Filed under: uncultured Helotiales
Lineage: Eukaryota; Fungi; Ascomycota; Leotiomycetes; Helotiales
Description: eukaryotic LSU rRNA
Rfam family: 5.8S ribosomal RNA (bases 152-305)
Source: RNAcentral
GUUUUUUGAAUGGGUUCUAUUCCCAAACCGUGUAUACAUACCUUUGUUGCUUUGGCAGGCCGCCUCUUAGGCGUCGGCUCCGGCUGACUGCGCUUGCCAGAGGACCCAAACUCUUUUGUUUAGUGAUGUCUGAGUACUAUAUAAUAGUUAAAACUUUCAACAACGGAUCUCUUGGUUCUGGCAUCGAUGAAGAACGCAGCGAAAUGCGAUAAGUAAUGUGAAUUGCAGAAUUCAGUGAAUCAUCGAAUCUUUGAACGCACAUUGCGCCCCUUGGUAUUCCGAGGGGCAUGCCUGUUCGAGCGUCAUUAUAACCACUCAAGCCUCGGCUUGGUCUUGGGGUUCGCGGUCUCGCGGCCCUUAAAAUCAGUGGCGGUGCCGUCUGGCUCUAAGCGUAGUAAUUUUCUCGCUAUAGGGUCUAGGCGACCACCUGCCAAAACCCCCCAUUCUUUACGGUUGACCUCGGAUCAGGUAGGGAUACCCGCUGAACUUAAGCAUAUCAAUAAGCGGAGGAA